Molecule: non-coding RNA, 332 nt
Organism: Prunus avium (sweet cherry)
Lineage: Eukaryota; Viridiplantae; Streptophyta; Magnoliopsida; Rosales; Rosaceae
Source: RefSeq, a predicted model, not a curated record
AUCUCUCAUGGUUUAUUGCAUAUAAUUUGCAGAUUGUUUCUAUAGUUUACAAAGAUGAAUAGGAGCUGGAAACCUAUAUAGGCUCAGAUCUCUAUGGUACCUACAAUCAAAUAACUUGACGGAGAAUUUCGAGGUUUUUGGACUGAGAAUUUCGGGCUUUUUGCCAUGAUUCCUCUUGGAAAAGGGUCUAAGAGUAAAAGUUGUUCUCCUUGAAGAGCUUAUGCUAGUGGUAUAUUGCUUGUGCCAAUCUGGCCACUCCUCAAGCCACCAAUCGCAACCGAAGGUGAGUGAACUGCUUAGUGGUGCUCCACUUUGCUUUGUAAUUGUCCCUA